RNAcentral lists this transfer RNA (68 nucleotides) under Marmota monax (woodchuck). RNAcentral's name for it is "tRNA.Ala". Lineage: Eukaryota; Metazoa; Chordata; Mammalia; Rodentia; Sciuridae. The record is from RNAcentral.
GGAUUGUGGCUCAGCGGUAGAGCCCUUGCCUAGCACAUGCAAGGUCCUGGGUUUGAUCUUCAGCACCA